This 16-nucleotide small RNA is filed under the name Arabidopsis thaliana (thale cress). RNAcentral describes it as "ATSL295020". The record is from RNAcentral. Lineage: Eukaryota; Viridiplantae; Streptophyta; Magnoliopsida; Brassicales; Brassicaceae.
UUUCAAAUUUGGAAAU